GUCUAUAGCCAUACCACCUUGAACUCAUGUAGCCUCAUCUGAUCUCGGAAGCUAAGCAGGGUCAGGGCUCGUUUGUAGUUGGAUGAGAGACAGGCUGGGAAUAUCAGGUGCUGUAGGCU
RNAcentral lists this ribosomal RNA (119 nucleotides) under Meriones unguiculatus (Mongolian gerbil). The record is from RNAcentral. Lineage: Eukaryota; Metazoa; Chordata; Mammalia; Rodentia; Muridae.